Zingiber officinale is the source of this 2021-nucleotide long non-coding RNA. RefSeq lists it as uncharacterized. The record is from RefSeq and is a predicted model, not a curated record. The transcript has 4 exons. Lineage: Eukaryota; Viridiplantae; Streptophyta; Magnoliopsida; Zingiberales; Zingiberaceae.
AUUAAUUUAUUCCUCACAAAUUUUUUCCCAAUUUCUUUCCGAUCUCCUCACGCCGAUCUCCCCGCCUGCUUCUCUACCGAUCUCCUAACGCUGAUCUCUCCUCAGGUUCGCUUCUCCUCCCUCUUCCCUCUCCCCCGACGGUCUACCCGAUGUGUCGGCAGCCGAGUCGCGACCUCGCCGUGGCGCGGCCAGGUCGCGACUGGGCGGCGGCCUCGCAGCGAGGUCGCGAGGCCGGGCGCGAUCUCGGCUGCGGCCUCGCAGUGAGGUCACUAGGCCGUGCGUGACCUAGCCGCCUGCCCUCGACCAGGCCGCGUGCAGCCCUGGUCGAGCGCGCGUGCAGAAGUUGUUGUAUAGUUCCCAGUUGCUCUCCGGAAUCCUUCUUUUUCUCCAAAUGACAUAAAUUAAUGGAUGGAAAUGAUUUCUGAAUUGCUCAGCACACAUCAGACAAGUUUGUUAACAAUUUGCUGCAUACAAGUAGGAUUAUCUCGGCACCAAGCUCUACUGUUUAAGGUUUGCUAAUCUGAUAUUUUCAAAAUUUAUUGUGUGAGAUCAAUGUGCAUUGUGAACUACACUUUAUCAUAUGCUAAAUUGCUAUUUCACCGGACUAUAGGACUGUCAAGUAGUUCGAUCUACAUCAUGAACAGUAGCUUUAUCAAUAAUUACACAUUCAUCAAAAGUAUAUUAUGAACUAGCAUAUGGUCACGGAGCUUUGCUUCUUAUUGAGUUACAACAAAAAGUAACUUGUUAUUCAAUUUUGCUGGACUUUCACAUGACUACGCUCACAAGUUUAUGUUUUAACAAUAUGCAUGUUUUUUUUUUACACUUUUAAUAAUGUUGUAAAUUUAUUUCUCUUUAGGUUACAAUGAAUAUGAAUAAAGCUUGGAUGCACUAAUGGAUUUAUAACCGAUGAAUAUUUAAUGGAGUUGAAGAGUUUGUAAACUUCGCUAAGUGUCAUCCAAACUGAAUGGAUGUUGACAAGUUACAUUGUCCGUGUUCUCAUUGCAAAUGUAGAAAUACAACUUUUCGUGAUAAGGAUACUGUGAAAGUACAUCUAUGUAAAAAUAAUUUUGUUCCAAAUUAUUACAACUCGUACUAUCAUAGAGCCUUAUUUGAUUGAGGCAAUUGGACAUUCUGUUGCUUCAUCAUUUUCCUCUAUUUGAUGUCUACUCCUAAGCUCAAGGGUCGUCUGAGUUCUUCAUCUACUGAAGUGCAAGCAUUAAGACAAGAGAAUCAAGAAUUGAGGGAUUGGGUCACGACAUUAAAGCGGUUGGUGGAAGGUCGGGUCAAGGUGGUAGAAGAUGGGGUUAGGCGGUAUAGCAGUCGAUUGAAGAUCGGGUAUGGUUUUGAUUCCCAAGAGACUGAAGACCCUCAAGGUGUUGAUAAGUAGCGCAUAAUAAUAACAAUUCUUCUUAGCUCUAAUUGUAUUACAUCUUUUAAGGAACAAUGUAGAUAAAGGGUCAACCCUUAAAAACUCGGAUUUGAUCCUUCUUUGCCUCGAUGAAAUUGUUGAUGGAGGCUGAGAUUCGUGAACGUGAUUGGUACAAUGUUGUUACUUGUCAUAUGGACACGCCUCAAGCUUAUGUUUGGCAUCUUCAAAACUUUGUUAACGAUGAACAUAUUCUAUCACCAUUAGCAGAUAUCUAAACUUCCAUUAAGAUUUUCCUGAGGGGUCCCAAUAAUGCAAGGGAAGCUGUUAAGCACUUCGGCAAAGCUCCCGGUGUGCAACACAGCCACACAAAGCUUUAUGUCUGGUCCAAGGGGAGGAAAUUUGAGAAGGCAUGGGGAAGAAGAAACAGCAGAAAAUUAAGGGUUUGAUCUCCCAACAAGCAGCAAUCUACAUCUUCUUCAUUCUUUUAUGUUCUAUUUUGCAUCGUCUGGGGUUGUUAAUUUCCUCUGGAUUUCCCUAGGUCUUUUGAGUUUCUUAGUGAACCAUCAAACUAAAAUAUUUGUAUGUUUAAAUGUAUCAAAUAUAUGUAUACACUUACAUUUUUCGUAUUCUCGUUGAUUAACUUUUCUAGCUA